Molecule: transfer RNA, 71 nt
Filed under: Crenothrix polyspora
Lineage: Bacteria; Pseudomonadati; Pseudomonadota; Gammaproteobacteria; Methylococcales; Crenotrichaceae
Rfam family: tRNA
About the family: Transfer RNA (tRNA) molecules are approximately 80 nucleotides in length. Their secondary structure includes four short double-helical elements and three loops (D, anti-codon, and T loops).
Source: Rfam by way of RNAcentral
GAUGCGUUGGCAUAAAGGUUUUGUCCCGGUCUGCAAAACCGGGGAUGCCGGUUCGAAUCCGGCACGCGUCU